GCUUAAAGGGGCCGUAGCUUGAUAAUAGGGUCCCUUGAGAAAUCCGCCGGCUUAACUGGCGGGCGUUCAGGGGAAACUUGUUUUCUAGGGACCGGGAGAGGUGAGGGGUACUGCCGGGGUAGGAGUGAAAUCCUGUAAUCCCGGUGGGACCACCUAUGGCGAAGGCAUCUCACCAGAACGGGUCCGACAGUGAGGGACGAAAGCUGGGGGAGCAAACCGGAUUAGAUACCCGGGUAGUCCCAGCUGUAAACUAUGUGCGUUAGGUGUGUCAGUGACCACGUGUCACUGAGGUGCCGAAGGGAAACCGUGAAACGCACCGCCUGGGGAGUACGGUCGCAAGGCUGAAACUUAAAGGAAUUGGCGGGGGAGCACCACAACGGGUGGAGCCUGCGGUUUAAUCGGACUCAACGCCGGGAAUCUCACCGGAUAAGACAGCUGAAUGAUAGUCGGGAUGAAGACUCUACUUGACUAGCUGAGAGGAGGUGCAUGGCCGUCGUCAGUUCGUACUGUGAAGCAUCCUGUUUAGUCAGGCAACGAGCGAGACCCACGCGAGCAGUUGCCAGCUUGACCUUCGGGUUGAUGGGGACACUGCUCGGACCGCCUCUGCUAAAGGGGAGGAAGGACUGGGCAACGGUAGGUCAGCAUGCCCCGAAUUAUCCGGGCUACACGCGGGCUACAAUGGACAGGACAAUGAGUUUCGACACCGAGAGGUGAGGAUAAUCUUCUAACCCUGUCCCAAGUUCGGAUUGCGGGUUGUAACUCACCCGCAUGAAGCUGGAAUCCGUAGUAAUCGCGUUUCAACAUACCGCGGUGAAUAUGUCCCUGCUCCUUGCACUCACCGCCCGUA
Molecule: ribosomal RNA, 847 nt
Filed under: uncultured prokaryote
Description: bacterial SSU rRNA
Rfam family: Archaeal small subunit ribosomal RNA
Source: RNAcentral